GACGAACCGUGCGAACGUUGUUCGGAAUCACUGGGCUUAAAGGGCGCGUAGGCGGGCUGUCAAGUCUGGGGUGAAAUGCCGCGGCUCAACCGUGGAACUGCCUCAGAUACUGACGGCCUCGAGGAAGGUAGGGGCAUGCGGAACUGUAGGUGGAGCGGUGAAAUGCGUUGAUAUCUACAGGAACGCCGGUGGCGAAAGCGGCGUGCUGGACCUUUUCUGACGCUGAGGCGCGAAAGCUAGGGGAGCAAACGGG
Molecule: ribosomal RNA, 253 nt
Filed under: uncultured bacterium
Lineage: Bacteria
Description: partial 16S ribosomal RNA
Rfam family: Bacterial small subunit ribosomal RNA
Source: RNAcentral